CAAGACUUGACUAAACAAAAAAAAGUGCUCUUAAAUUUACAGUUUUUAAAUUAAAUUUUAUUGCAUACUAUGGUAGUCAACAAAUGUCCUGAGUGAGUCUACAUUUUAAAAAAUAUAGUAAGAAAAUAAGCCCUAUAUCAAGGAAUCUUGGUAGAAUUUUGAUAUGUAAUAGGAACAGGUGGAGUUCCUCAAUGAGUGAUCCUAUAUAGAUUAUAGAAGGUUAGAUUAUAAAAGAUAUAGUCUCUAACUUCUGAAAUGGCUUGAUUUCCACUGAGGAGAAUAAAUGAGAUACAAUUCAAAAUUUUUAAUCCCUAGAGAAAAAGAUGGCUUUCAAGUAAGGAAAUGUUCCAAAAUGUUUUCCAUCAAGAAUCAUUCCAGACAAAUGAGCAGCUCAUUUUGUUCUCAAAGACACAAGCAAUGUGUGUUCUUAGUCUCUUUUGAUAUGUGUUGAAAAGUACUCUUUUAUAAAUAUGGACAUUAUUGCUACUGCCAUUUUAGAUGGUUUUUUCUUGUUUGGUCUCUAAAGAUGGAGACCCUUUGGUUAGCAACUUUCUCAUAAGUCAAGCUAAUGUAUUCACAGUUCCGCUUUUUAUUCUUCAAUUGAAGCACAUAUACUGGAGCCUAGCCAUAGUACUCUUUCACCUACACUAUGGAUCUGCUGCUUGGACCCCAAAGACAAUGAUAUGGAAAGACUCCAGCUUAAUUAUAUUCUCUUUUGUCUCCUAUAUAAAUAGCUUUUAGAAAUGUAGAUUAUUCUUUUGAAAUCCAUGGUAACAAAUGUGAAUACUAUGAAUUUUGAUUUGAAGAGCAAAGGAAUGUUGAGACCCAGGAUCUAAAAAGUUAUUCCUAAUUUUCUUUUCCUUAAUAAAAUAUUUAACGUUUUUAAAAAAAACAUUGAUUGAAUAGUUACCAUAUCAAUAGAUUGGUCUUAGAGAAAAGACAGUUAGAUGAAGAUGUCCAUAAUAUGUGACUUUAAAAAUUAAGCUAAUCAUAGAAAUCUUAAAAGCAGAAUAAAGGUGGUUUAUUUUGAAAGAGAAAAAAAAAACCUAUCACCUGUACACUUGUUUUGAAUCACUAAAAAUUCUGUGAGUCAGCUCCUUAAAUAUAUUUAUUAAAAAUAAUUUGGAGGUAGCAAUAAGAGGAAAAUUUGUUUACUGUUUACCAGGAAUAAAACCAGAGGUAUAGGUCUUAUUUUUAGUAUUAAGAUAUAGCUGUAUAAAAAAAAUGCCUUAAAGAUAAAUAAUGGAAUGAGGAGCCAUAGAAUAAGAAUGUGACUAAAGACAAUUUAGAUUGGAAAAAAAAGCAAUUAAUUUAGAGUGUACGAAUUUGUUUUAAUUCAUCUGGGGUUGUAUUGCACCUCUAUAAAGAAAGGGUACUAAAUAUAUUAGGAUAGAAGGGUAGAGAUCAGACUUUAUAAGAAUUUCCAAUGUAUUUGCUAUUUGCAAAUGAUAUUCAUAAUCUUUAGCAUACAUGCAAAAUUGUCCUCUCAGAUUCUUUGCUUUGUAAUGGCAGUUGUUAUUUGUUCUUACAUAUAUUGAUCUAUUUUCAAACAUAUAUUCUACAAUUCUUCAUGAAUUAGAGAUCAGUUUGUUGCAUUCUGAGAAGUUAGUAAAUUUUUAUUGUAUUUCUAGUCAAAUGUUGAGUUCCUUUGGAAGAGUAUGCACCACCUUAAACUUUCUCUGGAAAUUCUGGAUUCUAGCACUUUUAACGUAAAUAUUUUUAAUUUAUUUGCAUAUGACCAAAUGAGAUAGCCUUGGUAGGUAUUUG
RNAcentral lists this long non-coding RNA (1767 nucleotides) under Marmota monax (woodchuck). The record is from RNAcentral. Lineage: Eukaryota; Metazoa; Chordata; Mammalia; Rodentia; Sciuridae.